This 497-nucleotide ribosomal RNA is filed under the name uncultured bacterium. Its description in RNAcentral is "partial 16S ribosomal RNA". It matches the Rfam family "Bacterial small subunit ribosomal RNA", at positions 28 to 507 of the family's 1533-position model. The record is from RNAcentral.
GAUGAACGCUGGCGGCGUGCCUAAUACAUGCAAGUCGAGCGAACAGACGAGGAGCUUGCUCCUCUGACGUUAGCGGCGGACGGGUGAGUAACACGUGGAUAACCUACCUAUAAGACUGGGAUAACUUCGGGAAACCGGAGCUAAUACCGGAUAAUCUAUUCAACCGCAUGGUUCAAUAGUGAAAGACGGUUUUGCUGUCACUUAUAGAUGGAUCCGUGCCGCAUUAGCUAGUUGGUAAGGUAACGGCUUACCAAGGCGACGAUGCGUAGCCGACCUGAGAGGGUGAUCGGCCACACUGGAACUGAGACACGGUCCAGACUCCUACGGGAGGCAGCAGUAGGGAAUCUUCCGCAAUGGGCGAAAGCCUGACGGAGCAACGCCGCGUGAGUGAUGAAGGUCUUCGGAUCGUAAAACUCUGUUAUUAGGGAAGAACAAAUGUGUAAGUAACUAUGCACGUCUUGACGGUACCUAAUCAGAAAGCCACGGCUAACUACGUG